This 364-nucleotide ribosomal RNA is filed under the name Nidirana daunchina (Emei music frog). RNAcentral's name for it is "partial 12S ribosomal RNA". It matches the Rfam family "Bacterial small subunit ribosomal RNA", at positions 858 to 1398 of the family's 1533-position model. Lineage: Eukaryota; Metazoa; Chordata; Amphibia; Anura; Ranidae. The record is from RNAcentral.
CACCAACCAACGCCAGGGAAUUACGAGCUAUGCUUAAAACCCAAAGGACUUGACGGUUUCCCACCCCCCUAGAGGAGCCUGUUCUAUAAUCGAUGAUCCCCGCUAUACCUAACCACCCCUCGCCAUCAGUCUGUAUACCUCCGUCGAAAGCUUACCAUAUGAAUGCUUCAGUAAGCCCAAUGAUCCCCGUCAACACGUCAGGUCAAGGUGCAGCUUAAGGAAUGGGAAGUGAUGGGCUACAAUUUCUAAACUAGAACAAACGAAAGACUAGGUGAAACCCUGGUCAUGAAGGCGGAUUUAGUAGUAAAAAGAAAAUAGAGUGUUCUUUUUAACAUGGCUCUGGGACGCGUACACACCGCCCGUC